AUAAAUAAAUCGCAGGGCCUUAUUGGCAUCUUACCUAUAGUUUUAAAAUAGAUGAGGGAUAUUAUUAGCCAACCUUUAACUUUACUAUUUCAGAAAUCGUUAUCUGCGGGUGUGGUACCUUCUUAUUGGAAGUAUGCUAAUAUAACGCCCAUAUUCAAAAAACGGGAUAGAUGUAAUCCAGCAAACUAUAGGCCAAUUACUUUAACUUGCAUAACUGUAAAAGUAAUGGAAGCUAUAAUCCAAGUGAAAAUGGUAUACUACCUGGAUACUGUGAGAAUCACGGGUUAUAGGACGGGUAAGGCGAAUGGGCAGGCGGGCAGGAAGAAUCAGGCAAGGAUGAGGCAGGCAGGCAGACGAAGGGGAAAACUGGGGAUUUAUUUGGGAAAUGGAGAACUGGAAACAUCUGACAUCGACUAACAUCAGUGACGGACAAAAACCAGGGCAAGACGUGGACUGAAAUAGACAAGACUGGGCGAAAAUAAUCAGACACAGCUGGGCAAGAUCGGGGAAGCACACGUGGAUAAUCAGGGGGCGUGGCACACACGAGGAUCGGACAAGCCGGGCAUGACAGAUACAAAUAACAUUCUGAGGGGUAGCCAACAUGGAUUUAGGAGAGGUAGAUCCUGUUCAACUAAUCUACUUGAGUUCUUUGAGGAAGCUACAAGAGAAAUUGAUCACAUAGAGUACUUAGAUUUCCAGAAGGCCUUGGAUGUUGUUGCCCUCAAACGGUUCUCGCUUAAGCUCAAAGCUGCAGGGAAUUUAGGAACUGUAGCAGCUUGGAUUGAAAACUGGUUAACAGGCACAAUGUUAUUAGAGGCACAAUGUCACAGUGGGCCUGCGUUUAUAGUGGGGUACCGCAGGGUUCAAUUUUAGGACCACUAUUGUUCCUAAUUUACAUUAAUGAAAUUGACACCAAUGCAUACAGUAAACUGGUUACAUUUGCAGAUGAUACUAAGGUGGGUGGUGUAGCAGAUACUGACCUAGCAGCACAGAGCUACAACAGGAUCUUGAUUUAAUUAGCGACUGGGCUGAUACCUGGCAAAUGAAAUUUAAUGUAGAUAAAUGUAAGGUAAUCCAUGCAGGGAGCAGAAAUAUGAAGUACAGAUAUUUUAUUGGUUCCACUGAAAUAAAGGUAACUGAUUAUGAGAAAGACCUCGGUGUGUAUGUUGAUGCUUCCAUGUCCCACUCUCGCCAGUGUGGGGAAGCAAUUAAAAAGGCCAAUAGGAUGUUGGGUUACAUCUCUAGGCGUGUGGAGUUUAAGUUAAAUGAGGUGAUGCUAAGAUUAUACAAUUCCUUGGUAAGACCCCAGAUAGAAUAUUGUUUUAAAUGUGAGAGGGAGAUGUAGGGCUUUUGAAGGAACAAUCAGGUUCGCUUUAGUCCGUUCAGAAAUAUUCAUUAAAAUAUACACAGGCCCAAAAAGCACACAGAUGAUUAUCUGUGACACCCAUGGUACACUGUUAUUAGUAUGAAUUCCAUUUAUUUCACUAUUCUGUCAUAUUGCUGUCGCGCAAGGGUUUCUAUGAAGAUGGCAAACAGUGAAGGAGAGAGUGGGCAUGCAGGCCGUCUUCCCCGUCGGAGUGUGAAUGCAGGUGAUGUGAUCCCAUCUGUGACACUGUAGCUUUGGCUGAGAUGUACAUCAUUUUAACCCAGUGGGUAAACGACUCUCCGAAGCCAAAUCUAUGCAGUGUAUUAAAGAGGAAUGUCCAACUGACUGUCAGAUGGCUUUUCUGCAUCUAAUGAUGUAAUCAUGGUUGUAGUGUGGGUAUGCUGAGCAGUAUUGACUAAAUUUAAUAAUCUAUGGAUGUUGUUCAAGGCAUGUCUUGUCUUGAUGAAGUUUGUCUGAUCAGGAUGGAUUAUAAUGACGAAUGUCAAGAGCAUUUGUAAUGAUUUUCAAGUCUGUAUUCAUUAGUGAGAGUGGUGGGUAACUGGAGGGUUGUGUUUGGUCUUUAUCAGGUCUCAAUAACACUGUAAUGGUCAGUAUCUGGAGGGUUGUGUUUGGUCUUUGUCAGGUCUCAAUAACACUGUAAUGGCCGGUAACUGGAGGGUUGUGUUUGGUCUUUAUCAGGUCUCAGUGACACUGUAAUGGCCGGUAACUGGAGGGUUGUGUUUGGUCUUUAUCAGGUCUCAGUGACACUGUAAUGGCCGGUAACUGGAGGGUUGUGUUUGGUCUUUAUCAGGUCUCAGUGACACUGUAAUGGCCGGUAACUGGAGGGUUGUGUUUGGUCUUUAUCAGGUCUCAGUGACACUGUAAUGGCCGGUAACUGGAGGGUUGUGUUUGGUCUUUAUCAGGUCUCAGUGACACUGUAAUGGCCGGUAACUGGAGGGUUGUGUUUGGUCUUUAUCAGGUCUCAGUGACACUGUAAUGGCCGGUAACUGGAGGGUUGUGUUUGGUCUUUAUCAGGUCUCAGUGACACUGUAAUGGCCGGUAACUGGAGGGUUGUGUUCGGUCUUUAUCAGGUCUCAGUAACACUGUAAUGGCCGGUAACUGGAGGGUUGUGUUUGGUCUUUAUCAGGUCUCAAUAACACUGUAAUGGCCGGUAACUGGAGGGUUGUGUUUGGUCUUUAUCAGGUCUCAAUAACAAUGUAAUGUUGAAAAGAUGUUAACUUUGCGUGAUUAUUGAAAUAUUUAUUAGAGGAGUCACUUUUGCUUAAUAGUAAUGCUUGUAAUGGUGGGUUGAUCUUAUUUAUUGGGGAUUUUUUGUCUGUCUCUCUGCAGGCUGUCAGGCUGUAGAGUCACAGAAGUAGGCUGUUCUUCCCUGCUUCAGCUCUGAGGUCAAACCCCUCACACCUGAGAGAGCUGGACAUGAGCUACAAUCACCCAGGAGACUCAGGAGUGAAGCUGCUCUCUGCUGUACUGGAGGAUCCUAGCUAUAAACUGGAGAAGCUGAAUGUGGAUCACGGUGGAGAGUGCAGGACCAGACCAGGCUUACAGAAAUACUCCUGCCAGCUGACGCUGGACCCCAACACAGCAAACAGAGACCUGUCUCUGUCAGGGGGGAACAGGAAGGUGAUAAAUGAGUGGUGGGCAAAGCAGACAUAUCCUGAUCAUCCAGAGAGAUUUGACGGCUGGUGCCCCCAAGUUCUGUGCAGAGAGAGUCUGACUGGCCGCUGUUACUGGGAGCUGAGUGGGAUGGAGUUGCAGCCUGGAUAGGAGUGACUUAUAAAGGGAUCUGGAGGAAAGGAGGGAGUGACUGUGAGCUUGGAUACAAUGACAAGUCAUGGUGUCUGUGCUGUUAUACUCACAGUUACUCUGUCCGGCACAAUAAUAAAUGGACUGACAUACCCAUACAGCCCUCAGGCCCCCGCAGAGUAGGAGUGUAUCUGGACUGGGGGGCUGGUGCUCUGUCCUUCUACAGAGUCUCCUCUGAUGGACUGACCCCCCUGCACAGAUUCACCUCCUCAUUUCACUGAGUCCCUCUAUCCAGGGUUUUAUGUUGAUAUAAACUCCUCAGUGUCACUGUGACGUGUUGCUGGUUCUCCUGGCAAAAGGGUAAAAUCUCUGCUUUUUAACCUUUUAAUCCUUUUUACUCUGAAAUGUAUGUUUGACAAAUAUAAAUGCCUGUGUUCAGUGAGCUGGAUAACCAUGAAAAAUAUAGUUUUAUAGUUUUUCUCUCUGACUAAAAUAUAAUUAAAUGUAAUCCUGAUGGGGGGGGGGGCUUUCCCCCUCCCCUGUAUAUGUACAUUUUAUAUAUUUAUGUCCAUUUACUGUAUUUCCUCCCUGUACAAUGACAAUAAAGGCUUUCUGUUCUGUCCUAUUAA
Molecule: RNA transcript, 3759 nt
Organism: Brienomyrus brachyistius
Lineage: Eukaryota; Metazoa; Chordata; Actinopteri; Osteoglossiformes; Mormyridae
Gene name: stonustoxin subunit alpha-like
Exons: 5
Source: RefSeq, a predicted model, not a curated record